ACACACAGUGCUUUCUGGCAGGGGGUCCUGUUUGCAAGAUUGAUGAGAUGGCUGUGUUUAAUUACCUUAAUUUGGGCUCCUGGCACAGAUGUGUUUGCGGCAAUGCAAAUCAGCCAGGGGAAGAUUCACACCUCAGCCAGUCCCCCUUGUUGGACAUCAGUGUCAGGCCAACGGAUCUGUAUUAAGUUAUUCAGUAGGGUCAAGCCUGGAGCCUAUCCCAGAGAACUCAGGGCGUGAGGUGGGGGACACGCUGGACAUCGCAGAGAAAAAUCGGAUUCACAUUCACACACCACGGACAAUUUAGAGAUGCCAAUCAGCCUACAAAGCAUGUUUUUGGGCUGGGGGAGGAACCCAGAGUGCCCAGAGGAAACUCCUAAAGCAUGGGGAGAAUAUGCAAACUGCAUACAGACAGGGA
Molecule: long non-coding RNA, 415 nt
Organism: Ictalurus punctatus (channel catfish)
Lineage: Eukaryota; Metazoa; Chordata; Actinopteri; Siluriformes; Ictaluridae
Source: Ensembl